UACGUAGGGUGCAAGCGUUAAUCGGGAUUACUGGGCGUAAAGCGUGCGCAGGCGGUUUCGUAAGUCUGUCGUGAAAUCCCCGGGCUUAACCUGGGAAUGGCGAUGGAGACUGCGAGGCUAGAGUUUGGCAGAGGGGGGUAGAAUUCCACGUGUAGCAGUGAAAUGCGUAGAGAUGUGGAGGAACACCGAUGGCGAAGGCAGCCCCCUGGGUCAAAACUGACGCUCAUGCACGAAAGCGUGGGGAGCAAACAGG
RNAcentral lists this ribosomal RNA (253 nucleotides) under uncultured bacterium. Its description in RNAcentral is "partial 16S ribosomal RNA". It matches the Rfam family "Bacterial small subunit ribosomal RNA", at positions 524 to 776 of the family's 1533-position model. The record is from RNAcentral.